This 483-nucleotide ribosomal RNA is filed under the name uncultured bacterium. Its description in RNAcentral is "bacterial SSU rRNA". It matches the Rfam family "Bacterial small subunit ribosomal RNA", at positions 501 to 987 of the family's 1533-position model. The record is from RNAcentral.
CUACGUGCCAGCAGCCGCGGUAAUACGGAAGGUCCAGGCGUUAUCCGGAUUUAUUGGGUUUAAAGGGAGCGUAGGCUGGAGAUUAAGUGUGUUGUGAAAUGUAGACGCUCAACGUCUGAAUUGCAGCGCAUACUGGUUUCCUUGAGUACGCACAACGUUGGCGGAAUUCGUCGUGUAGCGGUGAAAUGCUUAGAUAUGACGAAGAACUCCGAUUGCGAAGGCAGCUGACGGGAGCGCAACUGACGCUUAAGCUCGAAGGUGCGGGUAUCAAACAGGAUUAGAUACCCUGGUAGUCCGCACAGUAAACGAUGGAUGCCCGCUGUUGGUACCUGGUAUCAGCGGCUAAGCGAAAGCAUUAAGCAUCCCACCUGGGGAGUACGCCGGCAACGGUGAAACUCAAAGGAAUUGACGGGGACCCGCACAAGCGGUGGAUGAUGUGGAUUAAUUCGAUGCAACGCGAAGAACCUUACCUGGUCUUGACAU